CUGCAAGCCUGCGGGCGACGUCCUGGGACUGGCUUUGGACCGAGAGGAGCGCUUUUCGCCCUUCCCGCUGAGGAGGCGCCCAAGGAGAAGCGCCGUCGCGCGAGGUCCGAGAAGAUGGCCAAGGCCAGCAGCACCACCAGACGGCUUUGGAAGUUCCUCUGGACCGCUGCCCUCACCCUCUGCGUCCGUCUGCAGACAACAGCAGAACAGUUACAAGAGGCUUACUUCCUGCCUGAAUUUGUACUUUCCCCACAAGGAAGUUUUUUAGAAGACACUGCAGGAGAGAAGUUCCUUAC
This is a non-coding RNA of Notechis scutatus (mainland tiger snake), 296 nucleotides long. The record is from RefSeq and is a predicted model, not a curated record. Lineage: Eukaryota; Metazoa; Chordata; Lepidosauria; Squamata; Elapidae.